This 491-nucleotide ribosomal RNA is filed under the name uncultured bacterium. RNAcentral's name for it is "partial 16S ribosomal RNA". It matches the Rfam family "Bacterial small subunit ribosomal RNA", at positions 29 to 506 of the family's 1533-position model. The record is from RNAcentral.
AGUGAACGCUGGCGGUAGGCCUAACACAUGCAAGUCGAACGGCAGCACAGUAAGAGCUUGCUCUUACGGGUGGCGAGUGGCGGACGGGUGAGGAAUACAUCGGAAUCUACUUUUUCGUGGGGGAUAACGUAGGGAAACUUACGCUAAUACCGCAUACGACCUACGGGUGAAAGCAGGGGAUCUUCGGACCUUGCGCGAUUGAAUGAGCCGAUGUCGGAUUAGCUAGUUGGCGGGGUAAAGGCCCACCAAGGCGACGGUCCGUAGCUGGUCUGAGAGGAUGAUCAGCCACACUGGAACUGAGACACGGUCCAGACUCCUACGGGAGGCAGCAGUGGGGAAUAUUGGACAAUGGGCGCAAGCCUGAUCCAGCCAUACCGCGUGGGUGAAGAAGGCCUUCGGGUUGUAAAGCCCUUUUGUUGGGAAAGAAAAGCAGCAGGUUAAUACCCCGCUGUUCUGACGGUACCCAAAGAAUAAGCACCGGCUAACUUCGU